CAGCCGCCGCGGUAAAACGAAGGGUGCAAGCGUUAAUCGGAAUUACUGGGCGUAAAGCGUGCGUAGGCGGUGAGUUAAGUCUGCUGUGAAAUCCCCGGGCUCAACCUGGGAAUGGCAGUGGAUACUGGCUCGCUAGAGUGUGUCAGAGGAUGGUGGAAUUCCCGGUGUAGCGGUGAAAUGCGUAGAGAUCGGGAGGAACAUCAGUGGCGAAGGCGGCCAUCUGGGCCAACACUGACACUGAGGCACGAAAGCGUGGGGAGCAAACAGGAUUAGAUACCCCGGUAGUCCCUGUCUCUUAUAC
This 301-nucleotide ribosomal RNA is filed under the name uncultured bacterium. RNAcentral describes it as "partial 16S ribosomal RNA". It matches the Rfam family "Bacterial small subunit ribosomal RNA", at positions 509 to 807 of the family's 1533-position model. The record is from RNAcentral.